GCUUCCUUGGCUCAGUUGGUAGAGCGUUGGUCUCAUAUUAAUACUAUGACGCAAUAAUUAGAUUGUGACAUCCAAAGGUCGUGAGUUCGAGCCUCACAGGGAGCA
Non-coding RNA from Terfezia claveryi, 105 nucleotides. The record is from the annotation of a GenBank genome assembly. Lineage: Eukaryota; Fungi; Ascomycota; Pezizomycetes; Pezizales; Pezizaceae.